RNAcentral lists this ribosomal RNA (2058 nucleotides) under Salmonella enterica subsp. enterica serovar Enteritidis. RNAcentral describes it as "partial 23S ribosomal RNA". It matches the Rfam family "Bacterial large subunit ribosomal RNA", at positions 763 to 2802 of the family's 2925-position model. Lineage: Bacteria; Pseudomonadati; Pseudomonadota; Gammaproteobacteria; Enterobacterales; Enterobacteriaceae. The record is from RNAcentral.
UAACUGGAGGACCGAACCGACUAAUGUUGAAAAAUUAGCGGAUGACCUGUGGCUGGGGGUGAAAGGCCAAUCAAACCGGGAGAUAGCUGGUUCUCCCCGAAAGCUAUUUAGGUAGCGCCUCGUGAAUUCAUCUCCGGGGGUAGAGCACUGUUUCGGCUAGGGGGCCAUCCCGGCUUACCAACCCGAUGCAAACUGCGAAUACCGGAGAAUGUUAUCACGGGAGACACACGGCGGGUGCUAACGUCCGUCGUGAAGAGGGAAACAACCCAGACCGCCAGCUAAGGUCCCAAAGUCAUGGUUAAGUGGGAAACGAUGUGGGAAGGCCCAGACAGCCAGGAUGUUGGCUUAGAAGCAGCCAUCAUUUAAAGAAAGCGUAAUAGCUCACUGGUCGAGUCGGCCUGCGCGGAAGAUGUAACGGGGCUAAACCAUGCACCGAAGCUGCGGCAGCGACACUGUGUGUUGUUGGGUAGGGGAGCGUUCUGUAAGCCUGCGAAGGUGGCCUGUGAGGGUUGCUGGAGGUAUCAGAAGUGCGAAUGCUGACAUAAGUAACGAUAAAGCGGGUGAAAAGCCCGCUCGCCGGAAGACCAAGGGUUCCUGUCCAACGUUAAUCGGGGCAGGGUGAGUCGACCCCUAAGGCGAGGCCGAAAGGCGUAGUCGAUGGGAAACGGGUUAAUAUUCCCGUACUUGGUGUUACUGCGAAGGGGGGACGGAGAAGGCUAUGUUGGCCGGGCGACGGUUGUCCCGGUUUAAGCGUGUAGGUGUGUGUUCCAGGUAAAUCCGGUUCACUUUAACACUGAGGCGUGACGACGAGGCACUACGGUGCUGAAGCAACAAAUGCCCUGCUUCCAGGAAAAGCCUCUAAGCAUCAGGUAACAUCAAAUCGUACCCCAAACCGACACAGGUGGUCAGGUAGAGAAUACCAAGGCGCUUGAGAGAACUCGGGUGAAGGAACUAGGCAAAAUGGUGCCGUAACUUCGGGAGAAGGCACGCUGACACGUAGGUGAAGUGAUUUACUCAUGGAGCUGAAGUCAGUCGAAGAUACCAGCUGGCUGCAACUGUUUAUUAAAAACACAGCACUGUGCAAACACGAAAGUGGACGUAUACGGUGUGACGCCUGCCCGGUGCCGGAAGGUUAAUUGAUGGGGUCAGCGCAAGCGAAGCUCCUGAUCGAAGCCCCGGUAAACGGCGGCCGUAACUAUAACGGUCCUAAGGUAGCGAAAUUCCUUGUCGGGUAAGUUCCGACCUGCACGAAUGGCGUAAUGAUGGCCAGGCUGUCUCCACCCGAGACUCAGUGAAAUUGAACUCGCUGUGAAGAUGCAGUGUACCCGCGGCAAGACGGAAAGACCCCGUGAACCUUUACUAUAGCUUGACACUGAACAUUGAGCCUUGAUGUGUAGGAUAGGUGGGAGGCUUUGAAGUGUGGACGCCAGUCUGCAUGGAGCCGACCUUGAAAUACCACCCUUUAAUGUUUGAUGUUCUAACGUGGACCCGUUACCCGGGUUGCGGACAGUGUCUGGUGGGUAGUUUGACUGGGGCGGUCUCCUCCUAAAGAGUAACGGAGGAGCACGAAGGUUGGCUAAUCCUGGUCGGACAUCAGGAGGUUAGUGCAAUGGCAUAAGCCAGCUUGACUGCGAGCGUGACGGCGCGAGCAGGUGCGAAAGCAGGUCAUAGUGAUCCGGUGGUUCUGAAUGGAAGGGCCAUCGCUCAACGGAUAAAAGGUACUCCGGGGAUAACAGGCUGAUACCGCCCAAGAGUUCAUAUCGACGGCGGUGUUUGGCACCUCGAUGUCGGCUCAUCACAUCCUGGGGCUGAAGUAGGUCCCAAGGGUAUGGCUGUUCGCCAUUUAAAGUGGUACGCGAGCUGGGUUUAGAACGUCGUGAGACAGUUCGGUCCCUAUCUGCCGUGGGCGCUGGAGAACUGAGGGGGGCUGCUCCUAGUACGAGAGGACCGGAGUGGACGCAUCACUGGUGUUCGGGUUGUCAUGCCAAUGGCACUGCCCGGUAGCUAAAUGCGGAAGAGAUAAGUGCUGAAAGCAUCUAAGCACGAAACUUGCCCCGA